ACGAUAAUAGUUUAAUUAAAAACAUUGAACUUGUAAUUCAAAAAUGAUCUUUUCUUAUUGUG
Molecule: transfer RNA, 62 nt
Filed under: Anoplodactylus australis
Lineage: Eukaryota; Metazoa; Arthropoda; Pycnogonida; Pantopoda; Phoxichilidiidae
Description: tRNA-Thr
Rfam family: tRNA
About the family: Transfer RNA (tRNA) molecules are approximately 80 nucleotides in length. Their secondary structure includes four short double-helical elements and three loops (D, anti-codon, and T loops).
Source: RNAcentral